This is an RNA transcript of Triticum urartu, 3146 nucleotides long. RefSeq lists it as uncharacterized. NCBI's taxonomy places the organism in Eukaryota, Viridiplantae, Streptophyta, Magnoliopsida, Poales, Poaceae. The record is from RefSeq and is a predicted model, not a curated record.
CUGGCAACGUGCGAACUAGCGAGCGGGCGAGCGAAGCCUCCAGGUGCCCUCGAGCGACGCCACACGAGAUCCCCUCGCCGUUGCCCUCGCCCUCGCAGCCGCCGCCGAUCCCCUCCCCCAUCUUCCUCCCUCAAACGCUAACCCGUCUCGCGGUGCGCCACCGCCCGUCGCGGCCGCCCCCGCCACCUCCCGCCGCGGCCGCCGCCCCAGCUCCAGCCGUGGCCGUCGCGCCCAGAUCUAGCCGCGGCCGCCGCCCCCACUUCCCACCGCGGCCGCUGCCCUGCGCGCCAACGACCCCUUCCCCCGCCGCCGCGCCACAGGUCCACUUCGCCUGCGCACCAGAGAGGACCCCGCCGCCAUGCCUCCGUCUCCCCCUACUCCUUUUUCCCGCUACCUAUCUCUCUCCUCUGAGCUGCGCGUCGUUCCUCUCUGCAGGUGCCGCCAUGGCCGCGUCAUGGAGCUUGCCGCCAUGGGCUGCGUGCCCCUCCGAUGACGGCCUGCCUCGCCCACGUCCAGGUCCUCUCAAUCCUAAUUUGGGCGUCCAUUUAUUUUGCGCUUGAUCCUGGUUUUAGUGGGUUUUUCGUCCUCGUCGCGUGUUUCAUGGUGGCCGCUAGGGUGCCCCUGCCGGCCAUCUGCCAUCUGCUCCAGGGGCCCCCUCCAGGAACACACAGCGACUGCUAAGCCAUCGUCCCGUUUUGCUUCUCCCUACACAUCCUUACUAAGAGAAAGGGGCCUGCCCAGCUAGCAGCAGCUUCCUAGCUGGAAGAUGCAUAGCCAUAACGCACACAUCGAUUAGGAGCAGUUUAUCACGCAGCUUGUACGCAUGCUGCCGCCGCCUUUUCGCCUCGUGCCUAUAUCGUGGCGGGUGAACAAGGGAAUCUCGCUGGAGACCCUUUUGGAAGGGAUCUCGGUGGCGCACCGCCGUUGCAUGUCGUUCGUCGGUAUAAGAAUUGCCGGACGGUCGAUGUCCGAUGUACGUUUCAUUAGCUAUAUGUUUCUGCAGUUUGAUAUAAUGUUUUUGUGGCGUAGAUCUACAAGAGAUCAAGAAGGGUGAUGUUCUGGAUGCUGAUCUUGACUAAUAGUUGCCGGAUGAACUAUGCAAUGACAGCAUGGAUGAGCUUUGUGUGCAGUUCACAUUUACCUGGUGGACCAUCACCAACCGGAUGGAGGUGAAGCAAGUGGGCAAGUCAGGGAAAUGCUCGGAAGGCUAUCGAGAAGAUCAACGAUCUUAACCCCACGAUCCUAAUUUCAGUUUGUACCUCGUUGUUGGGCUGUCAGAAAAGUUUGGAGCAGGAGCAAUGAUAUGACAAUUGUGGCUAACUUUCUUGUCAUUAGUCAUAUAUGUGCUAAUGGACCUUCCGGGUUCUCCAUUAUGUUUACCGGCCGGUUUCUCAUCUGAAAAAUACCCCAUAGCAUAGUGGACAAUGCUUUUUUUGGUCAGAAGUAGUAUUUCUACAUGAAACUAAGGUAUAUAUGCGUAUGAAAAAUGUGGCUUAUCUUUAGAUAAUGCUUUUUUUGUUAGAAGUUGUUUUUCUACAUGAAAUUAAGGUAUAUAUGCGUAUGAGAAAUUAUAUCUUUGCUUAACUCAAAAAAUUGUAUUUGCUCCUUUUAGCGGGAGCCUGGAGGUGAUACGGUUUGUACAGCAUGGUUUGAAUAAGAUAUUGUUUGUAUACUGUUGAGUGAAGUAUUGUAUAACUACUGUAAAGUGGGUGUAGGUUUUUAUUGUGCAUUUUUCACAGAGGUUUGGGCGUUUGGACACAACCAUAUGUACAAUUUGAAGCCUUCAUUUGGUAUUGACAUCUUAUCUUGACUCAAAUUUUGAAAAUUCUCUAUAAUACUUCCAUCUGGAAGCACAAAAUCUGAUAGAGUUGAUUCGUGUGGGAAAAAUACAUGAAGCUUUGAAGUUUUCUCAAGAAGAACUAGCACCAAGAGCCGAGUAAACUGUAAUUUUUUUGUUAAAACAUCUCACUUACCUUAGUUAAAAACCAGGGUUCGAAACUAUAUUAGUCAGAAUACAGUUCCUGUUGUCAGCUAGAUUUCAUUUUCUGGUAAUAUCAUUUGUCGUUAAGAACAUGCUCUUAUGUUAUAUUUUAUUUGUAAACUUUUGGCAAUUUUUUCAGCAAGCAUUUCUUUAGGAAACAGAGAAAACCGCAGCAACUAUUUGAUGUUUCUCAACGCUUGAAGACAACAAGUGAAGUUGUUGCUACCAUCUUACAAGCCAAAGUCAUGAGAAAGUCGGGUGUUAAAAUGUUGGGAGAUUACAAAGUUCAUGCUCUAUUCACACAUGGUGGAGGCAACCCAACAAGUUGUUGCGGGAGCCAGCAGAGAAAGGAGUCGAGGAACCCGCAUCAUGGGAGGAGAGUCAUCGAGGGGCAUCCGGAUAAAGUGAGACACUGCAUUGUAUAUAUAUGGCCUAUAUACUGGAUGAGAUUCUCAUUGCCGGCAUUCUUCAUGAACCUAUCAAGAAGAACAUUUCAAUACUAAUUGCAGCACAUGUUUUCUCACCACCGGCUAACAAGAAGAGAGUAUGAUUUUCUAAUGCUCAGUGUUGUAAGCUUGAUUCACGAGGAGCUUCUCAAUGUUGUACAUGUUGUUUGUGAGUAACAGAAAUAAAUCAUUUCCUGGAAUCAGACGCUAUAUUUUCUGUGGGAAUUCGUUGACACAGUUCCUUACAACACUGAGAAUCUUUGAAAUGGGCAAACCGCUCUAUGUAAUUCUAUCAUCCAUUCUGAUUUUGAGACAAGUAUAUCAGUUAUCUUUUUCCUUCUAGCAAGGCUAUCUGGAAUGAUUGCAUGUAUUAAUGAAGUAGUCCACGUUAGGUGGAUUGGCUCAAAAUGGAGAAGCAUGAUUGUAUUAAGCAUUUAAGCUCUAAGCAAUUUAGAAUGUCAAUGUCUUGGGGCUCCCUUGCAAUAUUUCAGAGAACUAUAUUUUUCCAGACAUUUUAUAUUGCCUCAUGAUGUUUGGGGGAUCUGAUUAGGUAUUGUUUCUCUAUAUAUCUAUCUAUCUCUCUAUUUUAGUUGCUAAUAGAAUAAUGAACAAUUGAUAGGACUAACCUUAUAGACUUGUGUUCUCCUCAAUCCGACUGUGUAUUUUCCAAGUUUUGUGCUAAAACGGGAAAAAACAUAUGUUUUAAACUUGCGACAACA